AAAUAUUGGCUGUAAAUGCCAAGAAAAUACUGCUGAGUAAAGCAUCACUGUGCAAGAACACACAUGCAUCUGCAAAACACCACUUGAACAACCAGUCUGCAAGACAGGAAGUUGUUGGAUAGUUCAUGACGCAUUAGGAGCUCAAGAGGAAACUGGGAGAGAAAGACUGGAGGGGGUGUUGGGCAGAAGAAGAAACUGAUAGCAAGGCCAUGGAAAAUUACGGGUUCAGAAAAGCUUCAGAUAUGUCAUUGAUCCAUGCCAAACUCCAAACCUUUUGAAAGUGUCUUUCUUACUGAAAAGUCAUCAGAUUAAGACUUAAAUUGAAGAAGGAUGUUUCUGUGAGUUAAAGAAUU
Long non-coding RNA from Corapipo altera (White-ruffed manakin), 353 nucleotides. RefSeq lists it as uncharacterized. The transcript is spliced from 3 exons. Lineage: Eukaryota; Metazoa; Chordata; Aves; Passeriformes; Pipridae. The record is from RefSeq and is a predicted model, not a curated record.